CAUUCCGAAAUAAAAAUUCCAACUCCUUAAGUAGACAGGACAAAAACGGAAACAUUUCUGAACGGCGCUGGCCAAUGAUGGCGUCGCAAAUAUGGCUGACCAACACAAAAAAAAAAUGGCAACUAAAAGUAAACAACGCAUUGUGAAACCGAGAUGCGUAUGUAUUUGUAUGAAAAAAAAGCUGAUGAUAUAUAUAUAGAUAAAAUGUAUACUGGAUUAAUGGUCGACUGAGCUUUUGGGGGGUUAAUUAAGAUGUUCCGUAUGAUCGAUGAUGCGAGCUUUGAACUUUUUCGAAACGACGCGACGCCUGUAGUUUUUAAUUAAUUUCAAUCUUGCGAAUACCUAUAACGAAAUUCUAAAUUGAUAAUGCAUUUAAUAAGUAGUUGGAAACAAUUUUAUUUGAAAAAGUAUCUCACUUAAAUGUCUCUUGAAUCUUUCAGAUAAGAAUUCCUUUAAUACUUUCACAAGAUUUUUUUUUACAAAGUAAAUCUUAUCAUACUAAAUUAAUGCUGAGCCUACUACAAUAGCAUAAGUAUAUAGAAUAACUAUAACUAUAUAUAUAAAUAAAAAAUCCUACAAAUAAUAAACACAA
Long non-coding RNA from Bombyx mori (domestic silkworm), 592 nucleotides. RefSeq lists it as uncharacterized. The transcript is spliced from 2 exons. The record is from RefSeq and is a predicted model, not a curated record. NCBI's taxonomy places the organism in Eukaryota, Metazoa, Arthropoda, Insecta, Lepidoptera, Bombycidae.